UCAGACUCAUGAGAGCUGCAGCUUAUUCCAACUGCAAUGGCCUUAAGACCGAAGCGGGGCCAGACAAGAAUGACCAAUGUGCUGGUAAAUUGAAGAGUCGUUCGACAAUCACCCAGGUGUGUGCCCAUUGCUGGCAUAGGUGGCACUAAUAUUCUCACUGAUCCUGACUUUGGAGAGGGGACAUGUUGAUUAGCACAUGCAGUGACGCAACUAAACAAUAAAGAGACCCAAACUGAGCCAACAGAUGAUCAACUAAUUCAAGGGUUCCAGCAAUCCUGGAGGGCCACCAGUUUUAUUCCAGCCACUUUCCUCUUUAGCUGUUAAUGAAACCCAUUAUUUAAUUCAAUGGCUGGUUACUGUUUUCAUUCUGCUACACCUGUCAUUUCUAAAGCUGUUUUAUUUCUGAGAUCACCAUCCAAAUGUUUAGUGGACCAGAGCAGAUCACUAUAUAGUAAGAUGCUGCAGAUGUUCU
Long non-coding RNA from Polypterus senegalus (gray bichir), 472 nucleotides. RefSeq lists it as uncharacterized. The transcript is spliced from 3 exons. Lineage: Eukaryota; Metazoa; Chordata; Cladistia; Polypteriformes; Polypteridae. The record is from RefSeq and is a predicted model, not a curated record.